Centruroides sculpturatus (bark scorpion) is the source of this 240-nucleotide long non-coding RNA. RefSeq lists it as uncharacterized. The transcript has 3 exons. Lineage: Eukaryota; Metazoa; Arthropoda; Arachnida; Scorpiones; Buthidae. The record is from RefSeq and is a predicted model, not a curated record.
UUGUGUUUUAUCUUUCAUUAGUCGUAUCAUUUGUCUGUUUGAUCAUACUUUGCGUAACUGCUUCGAUAAUAUGUACAUCGUCUAGGAAAUGUCUGGAAGAGACUAGGUACUUUGACUCUCUGAAUUUGCCAUUCAUCGAUAAAAUGCGGCUUUUGUGCUUUCUAAAGAGAUUGGGAUCCAGACAACUGGGAGUAGAAGUUCUGGAUUACAUAAUUACUAAGGAAUUUGCCUUCAGGGUAA